This 421-nucleotide ribosomal RNA is filed under the name Shigella flexneri. RNAcentral describes it as "bacterial SSU rRNA". It matches the Rfam family "Bacterial small subunit ribosomal RNA", at positions 1 to 418 of the family's 1533-position model. The record is from RNAcentral. Lineage: Bacteria; Pseudomonadati; Pseudomonadota; Gammaproteobacteria; Enterobacterales; Enterobacteriaceae.
AAAUUGAAGAGUUUGAUCAUGGCUCAGAUUGAACGCUGGCGGCAGGCCUAACACAUGCAAGUCGAACGGUAACAGGAAGCAGCUUGCUGUUUCGCUGACGAGUGGCGGACGGGUGAGUAAUGUCUGGGAAACUGCCUGAUGGAGGGGGAUAACUACUGGAAACGGUAGCUAAUACCGCAUAACGUCGCAAGACCAAAGAGGGGGACCUUCGGGCCUCUUGCCAUCGGAUGUGCCCAGAUGGGAUUAGCUAGUAGGUGGGGUAACGGCUCACCUAGGCGACGAUCCCUAGCUGGUCUGAGAGGAUGACCAGCCACACUGGAACUGAGACACGGUCCAGACUCCUACGGGAGGCAGCAGUGGGGAAUAUUGCACAAUGGGCGCAAGCCUGAUGCAGCCAUGCCGCGUGUAUGAAGAAGGCCUU